Long non-coding RNA from Xenia sp. Carnegie-2017, 381 nucleotides. RefSeq lists it as uncharacterized. The record is from RefSeq and is a predicted model, not a curated record. The transcript is spliced from 2 exons. NCBI's taxonomy places the organism in Eukaryota, Metazoa, Cnidaria, Anthozoa, Malacalcyonacea, Xeniidae.
GGAUCCUGCCAAAAGAUGUAAUGCUGUUUUGCCCUCAUAGUUUCUUCCAUCUAAGAUAGAAUUGGCAGGAUAUAUCAAGGCUACUUAAAAGUCAGGAUGGCUCUGCUAUGGUACAUCUCCAAAAAUAUUUUGAUGGUGCUUAAAAGCUCCAAAGGCAAUGUCCUUGAAAUGUUUCAUCACCAUGUAUCCUUAACUUAUUAGUUAACUCUUGUUAACUUUUGGACAUUGUCAACAGAAUUGUGUCCAAUUGGUCCAAUAUGUAUAUUAGGAUCCCUUAAUGUCAUGUUGUAUCACCCUGAAUCUCUUCACUGCUGUGAAAGUCAUGGCAAACAAGAUUAAAAGAUGUGCAAUCGAAAAAUAAAACAGUUAAUGAGACAGUGA